Non-coding RNA from Pimephales promelas (fathead minnow), 667 nucleotides. The record is from RefSeq and is a predicted model, not a curated record. NCBI's taxonomy places the organism in Eukaryota, Metazoa, Chordata, Actinopteri, Cypriniformes, Leuciscidae.
GAGAACAGUUUGUUUGGAAACAGUUUUCUUCUAUUCACCUUAUUUUGCACGACAACAAGGGUGACGCCAUUGCGUUCGUUUUGUCAUCUUACUCCCGUCUGAGAAAGACUUCAACUUCCGGCUCAUGAGAGGGAUGAGAUUCUGCGCUAGUUGAAACGAACGGGCCUAAGGACGGGAAUCCGAUUGAGGAACACCCCAGAAAUGGCUCGGCUACGAUGUUCCGAUAAAGAAGUCACGCCGGGUGUUGAAUAUUGUCAGAUUCAGAUGCAUCAAUGAGAGUCAGUAAUGCAGUGGAUAACUAUGAGGAUGAUCACAUCCACAUGCCCCACAGCUGUGAUGCAGAAUCACAAUGGGAGGAUCAAUCUGUCUUUGGCCACAACCUGAUCUUCUCAGAGAGACUCUCCAGCGUCUUGAUGCUCUUUAGCGAAAGUAUGAGCAGCACAGACUAACGUUACAUGAAGAAUCUUACAACGCUUCGAAAAGAAUAAAAAAGGCACAUGACGUGAACAUUGCGGAAUCUGUAAGGCGCCUCCAUAAUUCAGAGAACAACCCACACAAAUACGUUCCACAAACCAGAAUAAAUUCAUCACAUAACCUGGCUGUGACCACUUACCUCUUCGAAGAAUUAAGGUCAACUUUUACAGACGUUGACCCUGAAUGUGUGAAA